UGGGGGAUAUUGCGCAAUGGGGGGAACCCUGACGCAGCAACGCCGCGUGAAGGAAGAAGGUCUUCGGAUCGUAAACUUCUGUCUUCAGGGACGAAGAAUGACGGUACCUGAGGAGGAAGCCACGGCUAACUACGUGCCAGCAGCCGCGGUAAUACGUAGGUGGCAAGCGUUGUCCGGAUUUACUGGGUGUAAAGGGCGUGUAGGCGGGACUGCAAGUCAGAUGUGAAAUACCGGGGCUCAACUCCGGGGCUGCAUCUGAAACUGUGGUUCUUGAGUGCCGGAGAGGGAAGCGGAAUUCCUAGUGUAGCGGUGAAAUGCGUAGAUAUUAGGAGGAACACCAGUGGCGAAGGCGGCUUUCUGGACGGUAACUGACGCUGAGGCGCGAAAGCGUGGGGAGCAAACAGG
This 405-nucleotide ribosomal RNA is filed under the name uncultured bacterium. RNAcentral describes it as "bacterial SSU rRNA". It matches the Rfam family "Bacterial small subunit ribosomal RNA", at positions 355 to 776 of the family's 1533-position model. RNAcentral also lists the same sequence under 1 other name. The record is from RNAcentral.